This 164-nucleotide small nuclear RNA is filed under the name Salvator merianae (Argentine black and white tegu). RNAcentral describes it as "U1 spliceosomal RNA (ENSSMRG00000001517.1)". It matches the Rfam family "U1 spliceosomal RNA". From Rfam's summary of the family: U1 is a small nuclear RNA (snRNA) component of the spliceosome (involved in pre-mRNA splicing). The record is from RNAcentral. Lineage: Eukaryota; Metazoa; Chordata; Lepidosauria; Squamata; Teiidae.
UUACUUAUCUGGCAGAAGAGACACCUUGAUCAUGAAGGAGGUUUUCCCAGGGUGAGGCUCAGCCAUUAUACUGUGGCUGUGCUGACCCUUGCAAUUUCCCCAAAUGUGGGAAACUCGACUGCAUAAUUUGUGGUAAUGGGNGACUGCAUGUGCGCUUUCCCCUG